This 242-nucleotide non-coding RNA is filed under the name Lactobacillus pasteurii. Its description in RNAcentral is "T-box sequence". It matches the Rfam family "T-box leader". From Rfam's summary of the family: Uncharged tRNA acts as the effector for transcription antitermination of genes in the T-box leader family. T-boxes are found upstream of many aminoacyl-tRNA synthetase genes and some amino acid biosynthetic genes usually in Gram-positive bacteria. The record is from RNAcentral. Lineage: Bacteria; Bacillati; Bacillota; Bacilli; Lactobacillales; Lactobacillaceae.
UAAAAGGCUAUGAAAAGACGAGUAGAUUAGUUAAGUCUUGCAGUGAGCUAGUGCCAGUGAAAAACUAGCAGAUCCUGGCUAAUCGAAAAACACUUUGAGCAUGCUAGCUGAACCAUUUAGAUGUAGUAAGCGAGGCCGUCGUCGGUACGUUAUCACGCCGAAAUGCAUAAUUGUGCAUUAUGAGUUGGUCUUUAAUCAAGACAAUUUGGGUGGUACCGCGGAAAAAGCCUUUCGUCCCGAUC